GACGUAGGGCGCAAGCGUUGUCCGGAAUUACUGGGCGUAAAGAGCUCGUAGGUGGUUUGUCGCGUUGUCCGUGAAAACUCACAGCUCAACUGUGGGCGUGCGGGCGAUACGGGCAGACUGGAGUACUGCAGGGGAGACUGGAAUUCCUGGUGUAGCGGUGGAAUGCGCAGAUAUCAGGAGGAACACCGGUGGCGAAGGCGGGUCUCUGGGCAGUAACUGACGCUGAGGAGCGAAAGCGUGGGGAGCGAACAGG
RNAcentral lists this ribosomal RNA (253 nucleotides) under uncultured bacterium. RNAcentral describes it as "partial 16S ribosomal RNA". It matches the Rfam family "Bacterial small subunit ribosomal RNA", at positions 524 to 776 of the family's 1533-position model. The record is from RNAcentral.